Molecule: ribosomal RNA, 468 nt
Filed under: uncultured bacterium
Lineage: Bacteria
Description: partial 16S ribosomal RNA
Rfam family: Bacterial small subunit ribosomal RNA
Source: RNAcentral
GACGAACGCUGGCGGCGUGCUUAACACAUGCAUGUCGAACGGAAAGGCCCUGCUUUUGUGGGGUGCUCGAGUGGCGAACGGGUGAGUAACACGUGAGUAACCUGCCCUUGACUUUGGGAUAACUUCAGGAAACUGGGGCUAAUACCGGAUAGGAGCUCCUGCUGCAUGGUGGGGGUUGGAAAGGUUCGGCGGUUGGGGAUGGACUCGCGGCUUAUCAGCUUGUUGGUGGGGUAGUGGCUUACCAAGGCUUUGACGGGUAGCCGGCCUGAGAGGGUGACCGGCCACAUUGGGACUGAGAUACGGCCCAGACUCCUACGGGAGGCAGCAGUGGGGAAUAUUGCACAAUGGGCGGAAGCCUGAUGCAGCAACGCCGCGUGCGGGAUGACGGCCUUCGGGUUGUAAACCGCUUUCGCCUGUGACGAAGCGUGAGUGACGGUAAUGGGUAAAGAAGCACCGGCUAACUACGUG